Molecule: ribosomal RNA, 484 nt
Filed under: uncultured bacterium
Lineage: Bacteria
Description: partial 16S ribosomal RNA
Rfam family: Bacterial small subunit ribosomal RNA
Source: RNAcentral
AUUGAACGCUGGCGGCAGGCCUAACACAUGCAAGUCGAGCGGAUGAAGGGAGCUUGCUCCUGGAUUCAGCGGCGGACGGGUGAGUAAUGCCUAGGAAUCUGCCUGGUAGUGGGGGAUAACGUCCGGAAACGGGCGCUAAUACCGCAUACGUCCUGAGGGAGAAAGUGGGGGAUCUUCGGACCUCACGCUAUCAGAUGAGCCUAGGUCGGAGUAGCUAGUUGGUGGGGUAAAGGCCUACCAAGGCGACGAUCCGUAACUGGUCUGAUAGGAUGAUCAGUCACACUGGAACUGAGACACGGUCCAGACUCCUACGGGAGGCAGCAGUGGGGAAUAUUGGACAAUGGGCGAAAGCCUGAUCCAGCCAUGCCGCGUGUGUGAAGAAGGUCUUCGGAUUGUAAAGCACUUUAAGUUGGGAGGAAGGGCAGUAAGUUAAUACCUUGCUGUUUUGACGUUACCAACAGAAUAAGCACCGGCUAACUUCGUG